CGGAGCCAGUCUCGUGUGCUCUGGGGGUAGCGGGGAGCUGCCCGCUUCAGCUUGGAUUCACCGUGUUGUGCGUGAUUCAGGUCGGUUCUGGAGGCCUCCAAGAUGAGUGAGUGAAACACACCAGUGUGUGUUUUCUUCUGGCAUCUGCAGGGCUUCAAGGCCGAACGAAGCAGUGGGCAGGUCCCGACUCUCCUGUUUGGCUUCCGACACCAGGCGCUCUCUGUAAAGGUGCCUGGGGACUCCAUCUCCAUGCAGGCCACUUAAAGACAGGAAGGCCAACAAAGUCCACACGCAAUUGUAAACAACUCAGCUGACAUGCUAAUCCAUUGUUUUACCUCCUUUUCAAUGAGGAAUGAAGACUGUUCACCAGCUAGACACGGGAAGUUUAGUCACGAGACGGGUUUAUCUAACAGCAAGCCUCGGAUCCCCUGUUCCUCAUAGCUAAGGGAGAGAGGGGAAUGAGGACAGGAGUGGAGGCAGGGGUGAGCAAGCACAGGCCCCCAGAGGGAACAUGGGAGAUGAGCAUGAAGGGGCCCCUGCUUAGGAGCAGGGGAGUUCCCCACGUGCAGGGAAACUUCCAGAAGAAAGUCCUAGAGGCCCUUCCACUGCUGGGGGGAGGGGAGGAGUGACAGAAAAGCCUGAGAGAGAGGCAGAGGGACGGAGGCAGAGAGAAGGGGAGCGAGUGUGAGAGAGAGACAGAAAGCAGACAGACAGAGACAGACAGACAGAGAAGGGGAGUGAGAGAAGGAGAGAGGAAGAGACAGGGAAAGGAGGGAGACAGACAGGAGACAGAGAUGGGAGAAUCUAAGGGAAGAGAAGAGCGAAGGAGAUGGGAAAGUCUGGGGACCCAGGGUAACAAACACAGACUUUGCGGCAUUCCACAAAAUCGUCUAAAAUAUGAGCUUUUCCACGGAAGCUGGCCCACCCUGGGUAAAGUACUUACCCCAUUUUAGUUUCUCCUCUAUAAAAUCAUGUCGGCCCAAGCAGGAUUGCCUUGAUGAGCUGCCCAGAGAGCCACGGUGGGCUGAGCCGCUGACAGCCAUGCCUGUCCUCUUGCGGGUCGGGCUGAGCCGCUGACGGCUGUGCCUGUCCUCUUGCAGGUCCCAGAGAUUCAGGGAGAAACCUGCAGACACACCAUGCCCCCACGGCCUGCCUGGGUACGUGUCAUUCCCAUCUCUCAGUCCCCAGGGAUUCACAGCAGCCUGGCCCUCUGCUCUCUGCAGCAAGUUCCUACAUCAGUGCUGUGUCCUGCAGACACUUGGGGAGCACCUUCCAUGCAGGGCAGCCACAGCCAGACCAUGCACCAGGCCCAACAUCCAGCCAGGAGGUGGGGCCCACAGGGACUCCACCUUCCCCUCUGGAUGGCGGGCACGUGCUUGGCAGCCGGCGAACCUCUGCAGUGGGCCCAGGGGCAACACUGGAGCUGCAUUUAUUUCUCCAAGACCCAUCACAUGACUCACGUGACUCCUCCAGGAGUGAACUCCCGUGGUGGCAUCUUCUCUUCCCCCGUGUGGAGCUGCCUUCUGAGACGCAUGGCGAAUGACGGACCUCAACCUCCAGGGCUGUUGUUCAGAUGCCGCCGGGCACUGGGCCCUGGCCACAUCCCAGACAGCUGUAUCAGGAAGUCACCCCCCUCCCCUCAUCCACAGGGGAUGAAACCAGAGCACAGAGAUACCAGAAGAGCUGCAAGCAACCCCUGGCAGAAGAGGCGAUGGCAUGGAACUGAGGCUCAGGGCAGCGCUGGAGGAAGCACUUGUGCCCUGUUUUGUGGAGUAUGGUGCACAGGGGGCCAGACUUGUGGGAGGUCACUCCCCAACCCCGGGAUGAAACCUGUCCAGGGCACUUGGAAGCCCUCCAUGCCCAUCUCAUGAGGAGGGCAUGGAACUGAGACCAGGCUUUGGCAGCCACCUUCACACCAGCCUGUGCUCACAUCACCCCCAGCCCGUGGCGAUGCUGCUGGGGCUCAGCCAGCUCCCCGCACUGCUGGAGUGGAAGAGGAAAGGAGACCCCAGCCCAGCCAGCAUUGUGGCAGCCUCAAGCCUCAGCCUGGACAACAUGCUGGCAUCUGCCUCCAAAUCUGCAGUCCCUGAAGCCAGCGGUGUGUGUCCCAGGGUCAAGCCACCUGCUGGAGAAAAGUUAAACCUAAGGAAGAAACACAGGUCCCUGGGAUUUAAGCCAAUGAAUUUAUUUUUUGCAAUGAAUCAAAUUUUUUUAUCAUUAAAAAAUGUGAUAAAC
Molecule: long non-coding RNA, 2235 nt
Filed under: Homo sapiens (human)
Lineage: Eukaryota; Metazoa; Chordata; Mammalia; Primates; Hominidae
Description: long non-coding RNA NONHSAT203781.1
Source: RNAcentral